Amphimedon queenslandica is the source of this 1136-nucleotide long non-coding RNA. RefSeq lists it as uncharacterized. The record is from RefSeq and is a predicted model, not a curated record. NCBI's taxonomy places the organism in Eukaryota, Metazoa, Porifera, Demospongiae, Haplosclerida, Niphatidae. The transcript is spliced from 6 exons.
CAUGGAUCAAUGAAUAACAUUAGAAUAGAGAGAUUAAAAAACAAGCUAGGGACCCAUCAGUUACCAACAGCUGAAUUGCUAUUAGAUGGAACAAUGGCUCAACUGAUUGGAGAGAAAGGGCAUGGGAUAUCACUUAUAUCACCAUUGCUCCUUAUAACCUGCUGGCAUAAUACAAUAUCAGCAGUAGAUAGUAUGAGACGGUAUGCACUAAGAAAGUUUGUGAUAUCAAGAAGAAGUUUAUUGAACUAGUAGGAGUUUUAAAUUGGGAAGAAGUGACAGUCAAGUAUCCUGAAUUCGCUCAGGAGGAAAAACUUUGUGAAAAGUUUCAGAUGAAUAAAUAGUUGCAACCACUUAAACAAGCAAUGAAGGCAAAGGAAGCAUUAGUAUGUCUGGGUAAUUCUGAGAGUAAGGUGUCUCAUUAAACAUCAUGAAAAUUUUGUACUUUGUCUACAAGCAUCACCAGAGUCAAUUUCUCGUGCUGUUUUGAAGACUGAAUUGAAUGGUUACCCUGGUUCUCUGUGUCAAUUUUUAAUGUUAAAGAGUAUGAUGAGAUUAUUGCAUAUGAUUGUAUGAUUAGAACUGUUAACACAGCUGCAGGACUGACUGAAUAUUUUGUGAUUUUUAGUGUGCCACCAAAUGAUUUAGAAUUGUUUUCAGUGGCAUCAAAAUUCAUGUCAGAAUCUGAUUUUAUGUUGAAUUGGCUUAUCUUAAAAACAGUGACAACUUGAAAAUUCAGUACUGUUGCCUGUAGCUGCUCCUUUCUUCAUUGCUUGUACAGAGAAAAGGAACAAACAGUUAUCAACUUACAAUAUGGAGAAUUUGGUCCCUCAUGAAGUCGCAUUACUAACAAGACUUAGUGAGAAGGGUGGCUAUAUUUUGUCCGUAAAUGUAUCAUCAGGUAUUGUUGCUGAUUUGGUAAAGAAAGUUCUUGUUGACUGGAUUCACUCAGGCUUCUAUGAUCACAGACUUGGAGAAGUUACUUGCUGUCACUGACUAAACUCUAAUAAAAAAUAUGUAAACUAUUAUGGUUGUUUGAAAUUUUAAAGUAUUAUUGUUAUAGUUUGAAGUAAUGUACAUGUAUAAUUUUUGCGUUUUGAAUUUUCAGAUUGCAACUGAUGCAGUUUUUGAAUAUAAAA